GACGAACGCUGGCGGCGUGCUUAACACAUGCAAGUCGAACGGAAAGGCCCUGCUUUUGUGGGGUGCUCGAGUGGCGAACGGGUGAGUAACACGUGAGUAACCUGCCCUUGACUUUGGGAUAACUUCAGGAAACCGGGGCUAAUACCGGAUAGGAGCUCCUGCUGCAUGGUGGGGGUUGGAAAGUUUCGGCGGUUGGGGAUGGACUCGCGGCUUAUCAGCUUGUUGGUGGGGUAGUGGCUUACCAAGGCAUUGGAGGGUGGGCGGCCUGGGAGGGUGACCGGCGUCAUUGGUACUGAGGUACGGCCCAGAGUCCUACGUUAGGCAACAGUGGGGAAUAUUGCACAAUGGGCGGAAGCCUGAUGCAGCAACGCCGCGUGCGGGAUGACGGCUUUCUGGGUGUAAACCGCUUUCACCUGUGACGAAGCGUGAGUGACGGUAAUGGGUAAAGAAGCACCGGCUAACUACGUG
Molecule: ribosomal RNA, 468 nt
Filed under: uncultured bacterium
Lineage: Bacteria
Description: partial 16S ribosomal RNA
Rfam family: Bacterial small subunit ribosomal RNA
Source: RNAcentral